Molecule: ribosomal RNA, 301 nt
Filed under: uncultured bacterium
Lineage: Bacteria
Description: partial 16S ribosomal RNA
Rfam family: Bacterial small subunit ribosomal RNA
Source: RNAcentral
CAGCAGCCACGGUAAUACGUAGGUGGCAAGCGUUGUCCGGAAUUAUUGGGCGUAAAGGGCUCGCAGGCGGUUUCUUAAGUCUGAUGUGAAAGCCCCCGGCUCAACCGGGGAGGGUCAUUGGAAACUGGGAAACUUGAGUGCAGAAGAGGAGAGUGGAAUUCCACGUGUAGCGGUGAAAUGCGUAGAGAUGUGGAGGAACACCAGUGGCGAAGGCGACUCUCUGGUCUGUAACUGACGCUGAGGAGCGAAAGCGUGGGGAGCGAACAGGAUUAGAGACCCGUGUAGUCCCUGUCUCUUAUAC